AGAUUGAACGCUAGCGGGAUGCUUUACACAUGCAAGUCGAACGGCAGCGCGGACUUCGGUCUGGCGGCGAGUGGCGAACGGGUGGGUAAUAUAUCGGAACGUGCCCAGUAGCGGGGGAUAACUACGCGAAAGCGUGGCUAAUACCGCAUACGCCCUACGGGGGAAAGGGGGGAUCGGCAAGACCUCUCACUAUUGGAGCGGCCGAUAUCAGAUUAGCUAGUUGGUGAGGUAAAGGCUACACCAAGGCGACGAUCUGUAGCUGGUUUGAGAGGACGACCUGCCACACUGGGACUGAGACACGGCCCAGACUCCGUACGGGAGCAGCAGUGGGAAUUUGGACAAGUGGGGAAACCCUGGAUCCAGCCAAUCCCGCGUGUGCGAUGAAGCCUGGGUUGUAAGCUACUUUGGCAGGAAGAACGGACGU
RNAcentral lists this ribosomal RNA (424 nucleotides) under uncultured soil bacterium. RNAcentral describes it as "bacterial SSU rRNA". It matches the Rfam family "Bacterial small subunit ribosomal RNA", at positions 26 to 456 of the family's 1533-position model. The record is from RNAcentral.